Molecule: small nuclear RNA, 103 nt
Filed under: Marchantia polymorpha subsp. ruderalis
Lineage: Eukaryota; Viridiplantae; Streptophyta; Marchantiopsida; Marchantiales; Marchantiaceae
Source: RNAcentral
GUCCCUUCGGGGACAUCCGAUAAAAUUGGAACGAUACAGAGAAGAUUAGCAUGGCCCCUGCGCAAGGAUGACACACACAUCAUCUGUUGUGGACGCAGACGUG